CCUGAUCCAAAUUUAUAUGGAUGGAUUGGUGGAGGAGACUUUUUUACAGCAGAAGGUGCUUCGGAGAAUACCUAUGCAUAAAGGGGGAGGUGAAGAAGGCAUAUCAUUUCAGACCUUGUUUAAGAAGAAACACAGGGUAGGAAGGAAAGUGCAACAAAAUUGGCCAAUGAAAUUUACAUGAGAAACGAAAAAACUGGAUGAGCUUCGCAUGUGGAAGUGUAUCAAAAUAUAAAAAUCCGUUAGUCGAUGAAAAAAAGAAGAAUGGUUAACGCUGGAAACUUUGAUCGAGAAUACAACUAGCGAGCGUGGCCUUAAUGAAGACUCUCACAAAGUGCAGGACAAGAACUACAAGAAAAAAGCUUCGCGAGCACGAAAGGUGGUAAGAUUGUCGGUCAAAAUUGAAACCUACAUGUCAAUUCAGAUCGACAAUCUUACCACCUUCCAUGCUCGCGAAGCUUCUUCCAUAGAGUUCUAGUCUUGCAUUUUGUGGGUCUUCAUUGAGGUCGCGCUUGCUAGUUGCAGUCUCUAGCAAAGUGACC
RNAcentral lists this long non-coding RNA (539 nucleotides) under Capsicum annuum. Its description in RNAcentral is "long non-coding RNA (CANN_LNC016412)". Lineage: Eukaryota; Viridiplantae; Streptophyta; Magnoliopsida; Solanales; Solanaceae. The record is from RNAcentral.